CAGCAGCCACGGUAAUACGUAGGGUGCAAGCGUUGUCCGGAAUUAUUGGGCGUAAAGAGCUCGUAGGCGGUUUGUCACGUCUGCUGUGAAAACCCGAGGCUCAACCUCGGGCCUGCAGUGGGUACGGGCAGACUAGAGUGCGGUGGGGGAGAUUGGAAUUCCUGGUGUAGCGGUGGAAUGCGCAGAUAUCAGGAGGAACACCGAUGGCGAAGGCAGAUCUCUGGGCCGUAACUGACGCUGAGGAGCGAAAGCGUGGGGAGCGAACAGGAUUAGAUACCCCCGUAGUCCCUGUCUCUUAUAC
Molecule: ribosomal RNA, 301 nt
Filed under: uncultured bacterium
Lineage: Bacteria
Description: partial 16S ribosomal RNA
Rfam family: Bacterial small subunit ribosomal RNA
Source: RNAcentral